AGCAGUCGCCGCGGGAAUACGAAGGGGGCUAGCGUUGCUCGGAAUCACUGGGCGUAAAGGGUGCGUAGGCGGGUCUUUAAGUCAGGGGUGAAAUCCUGGAGCUCAACUCCAGAACUGCCUUUGAUACUGAAGAUCUUGAGUAUGGGAGAGGUGAGUGGAACUGCGAGUGUAGAGGUGAAAUUCGUAGAUAUUCGCAAGAACACCAGUGGCGAAGGCGGCUCACUGGCCCAUAACUGACGCUGAGGCACGAAAGCGUGGGGAGCAAACAGGAUUAGAUACCCCCGUAGUCCCUGUCUCUUAUAC
Molecule: ribosomal RNA, 303 nt
Filed under: uncultured bacterium
Lineage: Bacteria
Description: partial 16S ribosomal RNA
Rfam family: Bacterial small subunit ribosomal RNA
Source: RNAcentral